RNAcentral lists this ribosomal RNA (253 nucleotides) under uncultured bacterium. Its description in RNAcentral is "partial 16S ribosomal RNA". It matches the Rfam family "Bacterial small subunit ribosomal RNA", at positions 524 to 776 of the family's 1533-position model. The record is from RNAcentral.
GACAGAGGGUGCAAACGUUGUUCGGAAUUACUGGGCGUAAAGGGCUCGUAGGUGGCCAACUAAGUCAGACGUGAAAUCCCUCGGCUUAACCGGGGAACUGCGUCUGAUACUGGAUGGCUUGAGUUUGGGAGAGGGAUGCGGAAUUCCAGGUGUAGCGGUGAAAUGCGUAGAUAUCUGGAGGAACACCGGUGGCGAAGGCGGCAUCCUGGACCAACACUGACACUGAGAGACGAAAGCUAGGGGAGCGAAUGGG